UUAGAUGUCCGGGGCCGCACGCGCGCCACAAUGGAGGGAUCAGCGUGUGUCUCUCUUCCCUGUCCGCGAGGACUGGGUAACCCGCUGAACCCCCUCCGUGACGGGGACUGGCGCUUGGAAUUCUUCGCCACGAACGAGGAAUUUCCAGUAGGCGCGGGUCAUAAGCCCGCGUCGAUUACGUCCCUGCCCUUUGUGCACACCGCCCGUCACUACCUCCGAUUGAGUGAGCAGGUGAGGUCGUCGGACUGGAGAGCGGCGGACCCCGGAGAGGUUUAAACUCCUCUACGUGUAACCCGCGAUCCGGAAAGACGCCCGAACUUGGUCACUUAGAGGAGGUAAAAGUCGUAACAAGGUAACC
This 358-nucleotide ribosomal RNA is filed under the name Tupigea angelim. RNAcentral's name for it is "bacterial SSU rRNA". It matches the Rfam family "Eukaryotic small subunit ribosomal RNA", at positions 1473 to 1804 of the family's 1831-position model. The record is from RNAcentral. Lineage: Eukaryota; Metazoa; Arthropoda; Arachnida; Araneae; Pholcidae.